UACGAAGGGGGCUAGCGUUGCUCGGAAUUAUUGGGCGUAAAGCGCGCGUAGGCGGCUACCUAAGUCGGAUGCGAAAGCCCCUGGCUUAACUGGGGAAGUGCACCCGAAACUGGGUAGCUAGAGUGCAAAAGAGGGUCGCGGAAUUCCCGGUGUAGAGGUGAAAUUCGUAGAUAUCGGGAGGAACACCGGUGGCGAAGGCGGCGACCUGGGUUGACACUGACGCUGAGGCGCGAAAGCGUGGGGAGCAAACAGG
This 253-nucleotide ribosomal RNA is filed under the name uncultured bacterium. Its description in RNAcentral is "partial 16S ribosomal RNA". It matches the Rfam family "Bacterial small subunit ribosomal RNA", at positions 524 to 776 of the family's 1533-position model. The record is from RNAcentral.